Molecule: ribosomal RNA, 468 nt
Filed under: uncultured bacterium
Lineage: Bacteria
Description: partial 16S ribosomal RNA
Rfam family: Bacterial small subunit ribosomal RNA
Source: RNAcentral
GACGAACGCUGGCGGCGUGCUUAACACAUGCAAGUCGAACGGAAAGGCCCGGCUUUUGUGGGGUGCUCGAGUGGCGAACGGGUGAGUAACACGUGAGUAACCUGCCCUUGACUGUGGGAUAACUUCAGGAAACUGGGGCUAAUACCGGAUAGGAGCUCCUGCUGCAUGGUGUGGGUUGGAAAGUUUCGGCGGUUGGGGAUGGACUCGCGGCUUAUCAGCUUGUUGGGGGGGUAGUGGCUUACCAAGGCUUAGACGGGUAGCCGGCCUGAGAGGGUGACCGGCCACAUUGGGACUGAGAGACGGCCCAGUCUGCUACGGGACGCAGCAGUGGGGAAUAUUGCACAAUGGCCGGAAGCCUGAUGCAGCAACGCCGCGUGCGGGAUGACGUGCUUCGGGUGGUAAACCGAUUUCGCCGGUGACGAACCGUGCGUGACGGUAAUUGGUAAAGAAGCACCGGCUAACUACGUG